UCCACGCCGUAAACGAUGAUCACUCGCUGUAUGCGAUACACAGUAUGCGGCCAAGCGAAAGCAUUAAGUGAUCCACCUGGGGAGUACGAUCGCAAGGUUGAAACUCAAAGGAAUUGACGGGGGCCCGCACAAGCGGAGGAACAUGUGGUUUAAUUCGAUGAUACGCGAGGAACCUUACCUGGGCUUAAAUGGGGAACGACAGCUGCCGAAAGGUGGCCUUCUUCGGACGUUCUUCAAGGUGCUGCAUGGUUGUCGUCAGCUCGUGCCGUGAGGUGUCGGGUUAAGUCCCAUAACGAGCGCAACCCUUAUCGUUAGUUGCCAG
RNAcentral lists this ribosomal RNA (322 nucleotides) under uncultured bacterium. RNAcentral describes it as "bacterial SSU rRNA". It matches the Rfam family "Bacterial small subunit ribosomal RNA", at positions 794 to 1121 of the family's 1533-position model. The record is from RNAcentral.